AGAGGGGCGCAUGCCUUCCUGGGGUGAGGACGCUGCCAGGCUCCCAGCUCUGGAGUCACCGCCCCGUGCUAGGGGCAAGAGGUGAGGAGGCGGGUUCCCCGGCACCGCUCCUCCGAUGCCUGCACCGGCACCCAGCUCCAUCCCCAGGGAAAGAGUACAGGGGACCUAGAUGGCUGGAGAAGGGGCAACUUUCCUGCCGAGGUGGAAGUGGCAACAUAGGGGUUGGAAGUGGGUACUGCUGCCAAUUGGGAACCUGGGUUCCUUCUUUUCCUUCCUUCUCGCCCUCCUACCCUCCCCCUCUCCUUCCUCCCCUCCACCUUUCCUCCCUUCCUUCCAUUUCACCCUCCUGCCCUUCCUCCCUGCCUUCUGCCCUGCGACCUCCUUUCCUUGCCUUACCCGUUCAUUGAUUCAACCCAGGUCUGAUCUGUGCUGGUAGGUAACAGGUACAUAGUGAGUUAAUGCUCAAUAUAUAUUUAUGUCUAAUGAAUAGAUAAUAGGAGCUUGGUAAAUUAAAUGAAAGAAGGAAAUGAAGUGAUUGGAGACCAAAAUGAGUCAGACUAUUCCCUGUCCCCCAAGUACCUUAUAUUUUAAUGGGGGAAACAAAAUGUGAUCAUCUCUUAGAGACCAAUGUUUUUGAAAUUACCACUUUAAAAUUAUUUAUACACACACACACAUACACACGUUGUGAUGGAAAGCAUAUUUGUUACUAUGGGUAACAGUAAAAAGCAAGUUAGAAAACCACUGACCUGGAGCAUAAAAAUAGGUAUGUAGAGUUUGCUAUAGGCCAGGCAGAGUUCUAAGUGCUGAAAAAUUCCAGUUCAUUUAAUCUUCAUGACCGCCUUAUAAUGUACAGACUUUUAUUAUUUACCAAAAGGAAACUGAGGCACAAAGUGCUCAAGUAACUUGCUGGGGAUCUCAGCUGAGAAGCAGAAAAGCCAGGAUCAAACUCGUGCUGUCAGUGGUCACAUUAAGCCGCCUGGCAUUUUACACUGAAAUAAACUGCUCCUGGGCAGUGAGGGUGUGGGGCUACUGAGAAAGCAGUGAUUGGUUCUGCCAGUGGUGCUCACCGGCUUCCUGGAGGAGGCAGCUUUUAAGAAUUGUUAUGUAUGGAGUCGUCAGCAUGGGCCAGACACUGUGCUAACCCCUUUCCAGGCACUGUCUCAUCGAAGCCUCCUAGGAGACAGAUAUCCUUACUCUUUCCAUGCUACAGAUAAGAGGAAACUGUUAUUUUUAAAAAUUUUAUCAUGAGAUAAUUUUAGACUUAUAGAAGAGUUACGAAAAUAGUAUAGAGAGUUCCCAUAUACCUGUCACCAGCUUCCCUUAAUGUUAACAUCUUGUAUAGGAAUAGAAAAAACUGUCCUUUAAAUACUCUGAGACACUUGCUCCCAAGGUUGCACAGCUAGUGAACGAGGGUGCCAGGUGUAAACCGAGCUGCUCUGACCCCAAGCCUGUCCUCCUACCUACGACCCUCCACUGUCUACUUGCGGACCUCUAGCUGGGCCUCUAAGGAUGGGUUCUCCCAGCAUGGGGCUUCCUCUAAUUUGCUGGAUGACUUUAAACAAGUUGCUUACUCUACAUAAGGAUCAAUUUCUUUGUCAAAUGCAACAGCCCCUUCUCCAAGGGGUCGGGAUCGGGUUGGGGAAGGGAGAGGUUAAAAGAGAAAGGGAAAUGUGAGACACAGCAAAUGUAACAAGCCACGUUUGCUCAUUUUACUUGCUGCAUAAUUUCACAAGCCCUUGAUUCUGUAAUGAUGUGCACCUCUCUGGAAAAAUGCUUUGAAAACAAAGCAGGAUACAGCACAAGGCCCCCACAACUUUUGCCUGAGACACUAUAUUUCUUAAAAGAUAAAUGACCCUAGACCUUGCCUAUUCCUACACAUAGGAUAAUGUUUGACAAGGUUAGUGACUAUGCCUCUAUCAUCUAUAACCAGAUAUACUCUUGCACCCAGACUUUCAUGUGAUUCUGCUUUACUGUAACUUCUGAGCAAGUUUGAUGUAAUGUUUGAGCACAUACUGCACUUCUGCUACGUGUAUAUCAGCUAUGAGCUAAAACACUGUUUCAGAGCAGUGGGACAGGACCUCUCUGAAAGACUCCUCCCAGACUUUGUCUUCAGUCUCUAGUCCUCAGUAAGACUUCUGCUUUUUUUUUUUUUUUUUUUUUUGAGACAGAGUCUCACUCUGUUGCCCAGGCUGGAGUGCAGUGGCUCGACCUCGGCUCACUGCAAGCUCCGCCUCCCAUGUUCAAGCGAUUCUCCCACCUCAGCUUCCGGAGUAGCUGGGAUUACAGGCGCCCACCACCACGCCCAGCUAAUUUUUGUAUUUUUAGUAGAGACAGUGUUUCACCAUGUUAGCCAGGCUGAUCUCAAACUCCUGACUUCAGGUGUUCCACCUGCCCCGGCCUCCCAAAAUGCUGGGAUUACAGAACCUCAGUAAGACUUCUGAAUAAAACUAACUUUAAUUCCUUAAAAGCUUGAUUUUCUUUUAGUUGACAGAAGUCAUAGCCAUUGCCAACAGAAUAUAUCCAAGUCUGCAGGUGAGUGUGCCCAGGCCCGCCUCUAACUUUGGAGGUGUGUGGUACCACCGUUCAGGUAGAGGGGAACACCUCCAAGACUAUAUGAAUUUGAACACAGAGCAGCAAGACACUAGAUGAUUGGCCCUAUUCGGAAGUGAGACUUCAUGAUGAAAAAAUAUAUGCAUCCAUGCUACCUGCAAGGGAGAAUUUGACAAGAGAAUUCAACUUAUCUUUCUCUUCUCUAAGCAUUUCUGCUGUUCAGCUCCUCCUUGUGCUAUAAAACGGAGUCAGCACUGAACCUGGAGUGGUACAGUCCUCAAACCCUCACUGCAUUCAAACUUGACUGCUUUUAUUCCAAGAACAUAGGGUGAGAGAUUCGGAGUAUUUCCCUCUGGUCUGACCUUUUUUCUUCCUCGCUUUAUUGAAGUAUGACUGACAAAUGAAAGUUAUAUAUAUUUAAAAUGUACAACAUAAUGAUUUGAUAUAGGUGUACAUCGUGAAUGAUAACGACGAUUAAGCUAAUUAAUACAUCUAUCACCUCACUUAGUUAUAUUGUGCGUGUGUGUGCAUACAUGCGUGUAUGUUGAGAACACUUUAAAUAGUGGCUUCUCUUAGUGGCCUUUUUGAAUCACAAGAGAGGAUGUUUCAGAUUGUAGUUGCCAGAGCUAAGCCCAGAUCCUGAGAGACAGAUGCACAUAUAUGUUCUUUAAUGCAUUUAUUUUUGUAUGUGUUUGUGAUUUGUGGAACCUCUAAAUUUUAGGGUCAGGGAAGGGGCCUCCUUGUCAGGGGUUAAGGGCAAUAUUGAGUUUAUCCUAUGCUUCAAGACCGGCCUUUUCAGAGUCAGGAGAAUCUCAUGUUUUAGGGCAGUGGCAUGAGGGGAAGGAGGCUAGGAUCCACUGCAGGGACUUUCACAACCUCACUGGGCCUCAGGCUCCCCAUCUGUUCUAAAAGGGGGCUGGGCCUCAACAGGGCUGGCAUCAGAGCAUCUUGCCAGUGUAGACAUAAAGGGCCCCAUUGAACUGCAGUCUUCUCGGCUGCUUCCUGACAAAGCCCUUUUCUCCUCUAGCCACAAUGGCCCUGUCAGGCAGGUAGCAGGGCCUGCAGCUUUGUCUCCCCAGAAAAGAACAACAGGGUUCACUGUCUGUUCCAGGCUCAGUCUCCCUGAGGAGGGUGGGUGGCUUACGAAGGGUCUAACAAGCCAGGGACAGAUGGGUUCUGCCCUUAGCCAGCCAGCGACUGGUGACCCAGCCGCAGCUCUUUCGGUCAGUUAUUCUGGGAUGAGUAGGAAAACAAAUUCACCAAAACCCAAGUUUUUAAAAACUUGACUUUUCCAAGUGCAUGUCCAGAUGUUUUAGGUUACAGAGCUGUGCCGUCCAAUAUGGCAGCUACCAGCUGCAUGUGGCUUUUGAGAACUUGAUGAGCCGCUAAUCUGAAUCGUGAUGUGCUAUAAGUAGAAAACAGGCUCAGUUAGCAUUUUGGACUAGAUCGUUCUUUGUUGCUGGAGGCUGUCCUGUGCUCGUAGAAUGUUUAGCAGCACCCCUGGCCUCUACCCUCUGGAUGCCAGCGGCACACACACCCCUGCACCCCGACACCCACCCCAGUUUUGACAAUCAAAAACACCCCCAGACAAUUGCCAAAAUCACUCUGGGUUGAGAACCACUCAGAUUUCAAAAACUUAGUAAGGAAAAAAAAGGAAAAUCUCAUUAAUGAUUUUUAAAUAUUGAUUACAUGUUAAAAUGAUAAUAUUUUGGAUGCAUUGGGCUAAGUAAAAACAUUAUUAAAUUAUUUUUCCUAUUCUUUUCACUCUUUAUAAAGUGGCUACUAAACUGUUUAAAAUUACAUAUGUAGCUCAUGUUAUGUUUCUUUUGGGCAGUGCUGUUAAUGGAAGAAACUGAGUGCCAGAGAGGGAAAGUGACCAACAGAAGGUCACAGAGCAACAGAGAGGCAGUCCGGGCCCCAGUCAGGUUUUCAGACUGGCACCUGUAGGAUAAAUGCACCUGGUAGCAAUAACUUAAGCAUACGCUUACAAUGAGCCUGUACAGAAGACACACCUGAAUGUCUGUUCUAAGCUCGGGAAUCUGGGAGUAGCCAACCUGGAGACUCGUUUCUUGUCUAUGAGGAACAUCUGAGCCCCUUGCCUAUCCCAUGGAAUAUGGGCUGUACAGAAGAUCCAAGCCCUGAGGUUUGAGUUGGAUGAAGGUUGCCAGGUGGAGGUCGUUAAGGGGAGGGUGUUAAGUGAAGAUGGAAUAUAAACUGCAUGUGGUUUGCAAGUGGUUGUGGUUUUCCUGCCCAGCCCUUCGCCACUGGGUUAUCUUGUCCAGCCCACCGCGGCCGGACUGUAGGUAAAGAGGACAUCGUGUCUAGCCUGUCACCAGUGGACCUUUUCUGUAGGUAAAGAUGAUGUGGUGUCCUUACCUGUCCUAGCCUGUUGUCAGUGGGCGGGUUUUCCUGUCCAGCUCACCACCACUGGACUUUCUUCCCUGUAUGUAAGCUGCCAAUCAAACCCCACCUCUCAUUUGCUGGCUCUGGGUCUCUUCUUCAGCCCCUUGAACCUGGUGCCUUCCCUAUUGAGGUGAAUAGGAGUUCGGCACAAUAGCACUCCAGAACAACUCUGCUGCUCCAUACAGCUUCACAAUGGAAAGGAAAUCCAGAAAUCAGUGCAUUGCGUCUUUCCAGUGUGCUAUGGUCAAAGAGCACUACAGCAGGAAUAGAGAGGAGAGACAUUACGUCUGCGGCUCACAUUAUGUUUAAUCUUCAUUUAAUCUUUGCAACAACCCUAGUAAGAGACUUUGUUGUUAAGCCUGUUUUCCAGAUGAGGAAACUGAAGUCCUGUGAGGACUCUUAGCCUGCAAGUUGAGAAACUAAGAAUCAAACCCAAAUACUUCUUUUAAUACUACACAUACUGUCGUGCAGUCCUAGGUCUAGUGAGACCUGGAUAGGUCUCACCUCUUCUCCUUACAUCCAACCUGGAUAAGAGGACCGCGCAAGAUAUAGUCUGAAGUCCUUCCCAGCCCUGCUGAGCUGGUCUUCUGGGUAGGGUGGGGAAAGACAGAUGGUUGUCACCUCCUUCAGGCUGACAGGGAGUCAUGGAAUCUGGAUGGUCAGCAUGCAGAGGCUGGCCCACCCCUUUUCAGGUGUGUCCCUGGGAUGGCUGCUGUCCUCAUAAAUAGCUUUGCUGACGUCAGAAAUAAGGCUUGGAAUGGACAAGUGUAUUUUUGCUCUGGUUCUAAGAAGAGCACCAUGCCUAACGAUGGGAUCCACUGGCAUCGAUAAUGAUUACUAACCCACCACUCUACCGAGUUCUGUGUGCUAAGCACUUAGCAGAUAUUACCUCAUGUGCUCUUACAAUUCCUUACUCUGGUACCACUUUAAAUCCCAUCCUACAGAUGAAGAAACUGAGGCUCAGAGACGUGAAGUGACUUUCAUAAGGUCACACACAGUGACAGAGAAUUUCAAACUGGGAUUGUGCAUUCCCACAGCAGUUCCUUUAACUAAGGCACUGGUUUGAUGAGGCCACUGGUUUGAAGAUUAGUCCCCUUCCUGACCCUCCUCUGUAUGGGAAGACUGGGGCCAGCCAGACACAACAUGGGGCAACUAUAUAACCUUCUCGUCGGCCCUUAGCCAGAGUCAGAGUUGAAGAGGCUCACCUAAUCCAACCCCCUUUGUUUGAAGUUGUGGGGAAACUGAGAUACAGAGAGGGGCAAGGUUAUGUCCAACACCACUCAGCUAAUUUGUGGCAGAAUCAGUACUUGACUCAAAGUCACUGGAAUCCCAACCCAGCACUUUUAUCUCUCUCUUUGCUUUCUUUCUUUUUUCUUUUUUUGGAGACAGGGUCUCACUCUAUCACCCAGGCUAGAGUGCAGUGGCGUGAUCUCAGCUCACUGCAACCUCCAACACCCAGGCUCAAGCAAUUCUCUCACCUCAGCCUCCAGAGUAGCUGGGAUUACAGGUGUGUGCCACCAUGCCCAGCUAAUUUUUAUACUUUUAGUAGAGACAGGGUUUCACUAUGUUGGCCAGGCUGGUCUCAAAUUCCUGACCUCAAGUGAUCCACCUGCCUCGGCCUCCCAAAGUGCUAGGAUUACAGGCAUGAGCCACCGCACCUGGCCUGUUUCUUUGCUUUCUUUCUAAGAAAGGACAGACUUUAGGACAAGUCAUGAGUUAAUAGUUUUUGGCCACUUUUAAAAGAUAAGCCAAUGCACUAAGGUUUUCACGGGUAUUAUCCCAUUUAAUCCUCAAAACAAGCCUAAGAAUUAGGGACUGCUAUUAUUCCCAUUUUAGAGAUAAGAAAACUGAGGCUCAGGGAGGUUGAGAAACUUGUCUUCUAUUAAAUAGUGGAGCCAUAACAAAACCCAGCAGACUAAUUCUAGAGCCAGUUUCUUCUCAGGCUGAUCCAACUGCAUCUAUGGGAUUCUCCCAUCAGAACAUCUGCCUGCAGGUGGAAGACUGUCAAAUUACUGUAGAAGGCAGGGCUCACGUCAACGCAUGUAUGUGGAAGUGCAGCAUUGCUUGGCCUUGAUGUGGGUGUGCACAGAGCCUAAUGCACUUAAAGUAUGUAUAAGAACUUCAGAUCUUGUCGAAAACCAGCUAUAGUUAAAACAAUAAUAUUGAUAUGAACUAUUACUUGUUGCCCAACUUCCAUGUUGCAGGUUCUUUAUGUGUAUUGCCUCUGAGCCUUACAGCAACCCCAUGUUAGGAUACCUUCAUGGUAACUUCAUAAAGUUACCCAAAUUUUACAGCCGAUGGCAGUGAGACUUUGUGAGGUGAAGUGACUUGCUCAGGUUCACACAGAGAAUAAGUAGCUAAGCUGGGAUUCAAGCAGGUUCCCAAAGCACCUGCCACUCUGUCUUCCUUGUUUCCUGACGUUUGCUUCUCACUGGCAACCGUAAGGGCAGAAAUCUCCCGGUGGAGGAUUGAGGAGGACUGUAGUUAACGAUCGUCCCCUGGGCCUGUGUGGACCUACAGCAUUUGGUAUACGGGAACAGGGAGGGUGGGAACACAGUGAGCUUUGAAUGUGGCCAGAGGGAAGACUGAUUCUAAAGUUAACUUGAACAUGAACAACAAACUUAGGCUCUGUUUUCCCUUUCAGUUAAAAACAAACAAACAAACAAACAAACAAACAAACAACCAUCUCAGACUCUGCUGUUUGACAGGCUGGUAUAAAAACAGACAGGAGAUAUCAGUUCCGGUCCCUGUUCUGUCACUAACACACUGGGACCUGUGGCAGUUCCUUUCCAUUUGGGCCUAUCUUCCCAAUAUACCCAAUGGAAAUGAAGAACUAGAUCAGUGGUGCUUAAAACUUUUUUUUUUUUUUUUUUUUUUUUGGUGAUAUGGGGGUAGACAGCAAGCCUUUUUUUCAAAUAGAAAGUUACAUGGAAGGGCAACAUAUGAACUUAUUUCAAGAGCAACUGCUUUCAUUGAUUCAGGCCCAGAGCCUAGAACCUUGCCCCCUCGGCCUCCAUGUUGUCUCUUUGCUGCCCCUCCCCUGUGACAGCCGCGGAGGCAUCCCCCACCUAUGCUAGGACUUGGAAGAUCCCAGGUUGACAGCAGGGGCCAUGUGGCUUCUUAUGCAUACAGCAUGUGCACUGGCCAUGGCAUUUAUGGAAUGCUCCCUGUAUAGAGAGGCUCAUAAAGGGUUGCCUAUAGGUUCAGGACUUUCUCAGUUCUCCAGACCCAUUUGUCAGGGCCUUAGGCCAUGGGCAUGCUGUUGCCAAGUGGGUCUGAAUGCUUAUGCAUGGGUGGUAGGGUCUGAGUUCCAAGGGGAAAUUCCCACUCACUCCUGAGUGGCAUGUGAUGUGAGGCAUGGAGAGGAAGAGAGGUUUUAUUUGCAAGUUCAGAUAAAAUUGGCUUAGCCUCCUUCAGGGAUCCUGGAGAGAAAGAGCAGGUUUGGGGUUGUGUAGGGGUCUCAAUUUAGCCACACACAAUAGCUGUGUGGCGUUAGGUAAGUUACUUACCCUUUCUGGGUCUCUGCUCUAUGAUCUGUAAAACACGAAUAAUGAUGAGGAUAAUGAUAUAAUAAAGUGACUUCUUUUGUUGUUGUUGUUGUUGUUGUUGAGAUGGAGUUUUGCUGUUGUUGCCCAGGCUGGAGUGAAAUGGCAUGAUCUUGGCUCACCACGACCUCCGCCUCCUGGGUUCAAGCGAUUCUCCUGCCUCAGCCUCCCGAGAAGCUGGGAGUACAGGCUUGUGCCACCACGCCCGGCUAAUUUUGUGUUUUUAGUAGAGAUGGGGUUUCUCCAUGUUGGUCAGGCUGGUCUCGAACUCCCAACCUCAGGUGAUCCACCCGCCUUGGCCUCCCAAAGUGCUGGGAUUACAGGCGUGAGCCACAGCGCCCGGCAAUGCAGUGACUUCUUACUGUAUGCUUACUAUGUGCAGAUUCUAUGUAAGUGCCUCUCAUGCAUUAUAUCAGCAAAGCCACAUGAUAACCAUAUUAGGUAGAUGUUGUGUUAUCCAUUUUGCCAAGGAGAAAACUGAAGCAUAGAACAGUUAAGCAACUUGCCCAAGUUCACACAGCUAUAGCUAUCAAGUAACAUAGCUAAGAUGCAAACUCAUGUUUAUCAGACUCCAAAGCCUACAUUUUCAUCUGCAACAUUAUCCUACCUUCUUCAAAUAAAACCUCCUUCAAAGGGCUGUUUUGAGAAUCAUGAAAAAAAAUCUAAGUCUUAGUCACAGAGCUGGCAUAUAGUAAAUGCUCAGCAAAUGAGUUCCCUUUCCUCAUCUCCAUAUUAACCAAAAGUCUCCUGCAGGCUUGAAGGAGUUGAUGAUUGUUUAUAAGUUCCUUUUUUUCUAGCAGGUGAAAAUAGGGAGAAAGAAGAGAAUUCUCUCCGAUUUCAGGAAAUAUGACUUUUUUCCUGCAAACAACUCUUUUUAUUUUAAUAUUUAGACUGGGUCUUGCUAUAUUGCCCAGGCUGGAGUACAGUGGGGCAAUCAUAGCUCACUACAGCCUCUAACUCCUGGGCUCAAGUGACCCUUCUGCCUCAGCCUCCCGAGUAGCUGGGACUAUAGGCGAGUGCCCCUACACCUGGCUAUUUUUUAUUUAAAUUAAUUCUUUGAAGAGACAGGGUCUUGCUAUGUUGCCCAGGCUAGUGUUGAACUCCUGGGCACAAGUGAUCCUCCUGUCUCAGCCUCCCAAAGUGCUGAGAUUACAGGGAUUAACCACUGUGCCUAGCCCAAAUAAACUUCUAAAAUGAGUGUUUACCAAUCUGUGUUCCAUGGAAUACUAUUCCACAUCGUUCUGUGUUCAAUAAAGUUUGAGAAAUGCUAUAUCCUCAGCUCCUCUCUUGAAGAGGCCCAUUGUACAUUAGCAUAUUAAAGGCACUGAUAAAUCCUGCUGCAAAGAGUUCCACCUAAUUUAGCUUAACCCUGCCCCCCGCCAUAAUACAUAUUAGCAUGUUUUUCUAAAGAACACACAUAGAAGAGAAGCUGAUUCUUGUCCAUUUAUGCACAUAAGGCAAUUAAGGGCCAGAAAGCUUUGAGUUUAGAGCUUAGGUCGCACAGCUAUCCAGUAGUAAAUACUUUUGUAAAUGAAGACUUAUUCUCAAAUCCAUUGCUGAGAUGCAGGGUAGAGUGGCAAGUAAAAGAAGGAAACUCAAGUCAAAUAACGUGAGUUUAUAUCCUGCCUCCACCAUUCUUGAGCCUUGUGACCUUGAGCAGUUUGCUUAACCAUCCUGGGCCUCAAUCUCCUCAUCAGUUACAUGAGGUAAUAUGAUACAUACCUCAUGAUGCUAAUUUGGGGAACCAGUGAGUUAAUACAUGAAAAGUAUUUAGAACAGCACCACACAUGAAGUUAGUUAUCAGUAUGCCUGUUGGAAUUUUGCAUAAAAGGAAGUCCACCUGAGUAUACAUGGUACCGGAGGCCUGCUGUUUGAGAGCGCCUGCUGCCUGCCGGGGCUCACAGGGCCUUGCUGGAGGGAGGCCAGGCCUUGGCUUGCAGCUCUGGAGAGGGCUGUUUUCCAGCCAAAGCUCCCAGGAGGUGACAGCUCCUGUCCUCCCUCCCCUACCAGUUCCAGGGCCAGGCCUCUUGGGUGUGGCCAGAUCAGACAAUAUCCACAUUUCUGUUUCUUCUCCCUGUCUCCGACGCCCAGAGGAAUCCUUGUUGGAACUGACAAUUUGAGGCUAGAUCAGUCUGGAAGAAGGAGCUGAAAUAAGCAGUAUAGCAUCGUACAAGGAGCACCAGCUUUUGAGCCAGAUAGUACUGGCACCAAACCCAGGCUAUGACACUUCCCAGUUGCAUAAUUUUGGCCAAGUCACUUAAUUCCUUUGAGUCUCAGUUUCUUCAUUUGUAACACGUGCAUAAUAAUGGUACCUACUUUCUAAGUGUGCUGUGAAGUAUGAAUAACAGCUAAUGUUUAAUAAAUGCUUACUACAUGCCAUGCACUGUUCUAGCAGCCAGGGAUAGCUAAUGUCAUAAUAGACAAGUUACCUGCUCUCAUGGAGCUCAUUUCUAUUAAUAGAAGGGGCAGAUAUGACACAAGU
RNAcentral lists this long non-coding RNA (10980 nucleotides) under Homo sapiens (human). RNAcentral describes it as "non-protein coding lnc-ADAM19-2:4". Lineage: Eukaryota; Metazoa; Chordata; Mammalia; Primates; Hominidae. The record is from RNAcentral.